This 245-nucleotide ribosomal RNA is filed under the name uncultured bacterium. RNAcentral describes it as "partial 16S ribosomal RNA". It matches the Rfam family "Bacterial small subunit ribosomal RNA", at positions 524 to 768 of the family's 1533-position model. The record is from RNAcentral.
CACGUAGGGGGCGAGCGUUGUUCGGAUUUAUUGGGCGUAAAGGGCGUGUAGGCGGUUCUGCAAGCCUGGUGUGAAAUACGCGAGCUCAACUCGCGUUCCGCGCCGGGGACUGUGGGACUAGAGUUUCGGAAGGGAAGCUGGAAUUCCAGGUGUAGGGGUGAAAUCUGUAGAUAUCUGGAAGAACACCGGUGGCGAAGGCGAGCUUCUGGCCAGAGACUGACGCUGAGGCGCGAAAGCGUGGGGAG